RNAcentral lists this ribosomal RNA (496 nucleotides) under uncultured bacterium. RNAcentral describes it as "partial 16S ribosomal RNA". It matches the Rfam family "Bacterial small subunit ribosomal RNA", at positions 30 to 523 of the family's 1533-position model. The record is from RNAcentral.
AUUGAACGCUGGCGGAAUGCUUUACACAUGCAAGUCGAACGGUAGAGGGGGCAACCCCUCGAGAGUGGCGAACGGGUGAGUAAUAUAUCGGAACGUGCCCAGUCGUGGGGGAUAACGUAGCGAAAGUUACGCUAAUACCGCAUACGAUCUAAGGAUGAAAGCGGGGGAUCGCAAGACCUCGCGCGAUUGGAGCGGCCGAUAUCAGAUUAGGUAGUUGGUGGGGUAAAGGCUAACCAAGCCAACGAUCUGUAGCUGGUCUGAGAGGACGACCAGCCACACUGGAACUGAGACACGGUCCAGACUCCUACGGGAGGCAGCAGUGGGGAAUUUUGGACAAUGGACGCAAGUCUGAUCCAGCCAUUCCGCGUGCAGGAUGAGGGCCCUCGGGUUGUAAACUGCUUUUGUACGGAACGAAAAGGUCUCUCUUAAUACGGGGGACUCAUGACGGUACCGUAAGAAUAAGCACCGGCUAACUACGUGCCAGCAGCAGCCGCCG